UGGGGAAUAUUGCACAAUGGGCGCAAGCCUGAUGCAGCCAUGCCGCGUGUGUGAAGAAGGCCUUCGGGUUGAAAAGCACUUUCAGCGAGGAGGAAGGGUAGUGUGUUAAUAGCACAUUGCAUUGACGUUACUCGCAGAAGAAGCACCGGCUAACUCCGUGCCAGCAGCCGCGGUAAUACGGAGGGUGCAAGCGUUAAUCGGAAUUACUGGGCGUAAAGCGCACGCAGGCGGUUUGUUAAGUCAGAUGUGAAAUCCCCGCGCUUAACGUGGGAACUGCAUUUGAAACUGGCAAGCUAGAGUCUUGUAGAGGGGGGUAGAAUUCCAGGUGUAGCGGUGAAAUGCGUAGAGAUCUGGAGGAAUACCGGUGGCGAAGGCGGCCCCCUGGACAAAGACUGACGCUCAGGUGCGAAAGCGUGGGGAGCAAACA
This 427-nucleotide ribosomal RNA is filed under the name uncultured bacterium. RNAcentral describes it as "partial 16S ribosomal RNA". It matches the Rfam family "Bacterial small subunit ribosomal RNA", at positions 355 to 774 of the family's 1533-position model. The record is from RNAcentral.